AAUGAACGCUGGCGGCGCGCCUAAUACAUGCAAGUCGAGCGAGAAGACGUAGCAAUACGUUUGUAAAGCGGCGAACGGGUGAGGAAUACAUGGGUAACCUACCCUCGAGUGGGGAAUAACUAGCCGAAAGGUUAGCUAAUACCGCGUACGCUCCUUGGACUUCGGUUCAGGGAGGAAAGCGAUACCGUGGGUAUCGCGCUCUUGGAUGGGCUCAUGUCCUAUCAGCUUGUUGGUGAGGUAACGGCUCACCAAGGCUUCGACGGGUAGCUGGUCUGAGAGGACGAUCAGCCACACCGGCACUGCGACACGGGCCAGACUCCUACGGGAGGCAGCAGUAAGGAAUAUUGCGCAAUGGGCGAAAGCCUGACGCAGCGACGCCGCGUGGGGGAUGAAGGUCUUCGGAUU
Molecule: ribosomal RNA, 405 nt
Filed under: uncultured bacterium
Lineage: Bacteria
Description: bacterial SSU rRNA
Rfam family: Bacterial small subunit ribosomal RNA
Source: RNAcentral